Molecule: ribosomal RNA, 311 nt
Filed under: uncultured bacterium
Lineage: Bacteria
Description: bacterial SSU rRNA
Rfam family: Bacterial small subunit ribosomal RNA
Source: RNAcentral
GACGAACGCUGGCGGCGUGCUUAACACAUGCAAGUGGAGCGACGAACCGGGGGCUUGCCCCGGGGCAGAGCCGCGAACGGGUGAGUAACACGUGGGUAACCCACCCCGAUGACCGGGACAACCCGAGGAAACUCGGGCUAAUACCGGAUGUGCUCCUUGACCUCGAGGUCAAGGCGUAAAGNUAGCUUCGGCCUUGCAUCGGGACGGGCCCGCGGCCCAUUAGCUUGUUGGUGGGGUAAAGGCCUACCAAGGCGACGAGGGUAGCUGGUCUGAGAGGACGAUCAGCCACACUGGGACUGAGACACGGCCCA